UCCAGACUCCUACGGGAGGCAGCAGUGGGGAAUAUUGAGCAAUGGGGGAAACCCUGACGCAGCAACGCCGCGUGCGGGAUGAAGGCUUUCGGGUUGUAAACCGCUUUCAGCAGGGAAGAUAAUGACGGUACCUGCAGAAGAAGCCCCGGCUAACUACGUGCCAGCAGCCGCGGUAAUACGUAGGGGGCAAGCGUUAUCCGGAUUUACUGGGUGUAAAGGGAGCGUAGACGGCAUGGCAAGUCAGAUGUGAAAGCCCGGGGCUCAACCCCGGGACUGCAUUUGAAACUGUCAGGCUGGAGUGCAGGAGGGGCAGGCGGAAUUCCUGGUGUAGCGGUGAAAUGCGUAGAUAUCAGGAGGAACACCAGUGGCGAAGGCGGCUUUCUGGACCGUAACUGACGUUGAGGCACGAAAGUGUGGGGAGCAAACAGGAUUAGAUACCCCAGUAA
Molecule: ribosomal RNA, 446 nt
Filed under: uncultured bacterium
Lineage: Bacteria
Description: bacterial SSU rRNA
Rfam family: Bacterial small subunit ribosomal RNA
Source: RNAcentral